AGCAGUCGCCGCGGUAAUACGAGGGGAGCUAGCGUUAUUCGGAAUUACUGGGCGUAAAGCGCACGUAGGCGGCUUUGUAAGUUAGAGGUGAAAGCCCAGAGCUCAACUCUGGAAUUGCCUUUAAGACUGCAUCGCUUGAAUCCAGGAGAGGUGAGUGGAAUUCCGAGUGUAGAGGUGAAAUUCGUAGAUAUUCGGAAGAACACCAGUGGCGAAGGCGGCUCACUGGACUGGUAUUGACGCUGAGGUGCGAAAGCGUGGGGAGCAAACAGGAUUAGAUACCCCUGUAGUCCCUGUCUCUUAUAC
RNAcentral lists this ribosomal RNA (303 nucleotides) under uncultured bacterium. Its description in RNAcentral is "partial 16S ribosomal RNA". It matches the Rfam family "Bacterial small subunit ribosomal RNA", at positions 507 to 807 of the family's 1533-position model. The record is from RNAcentral.